GUCGAAAUAGCUCAGUGGGGAGAGCGUUAGACCGGAAAUCCAAAGGUCUUUGGUUCGAUCCCGGGUUUCGGUA
Molecule: non-coding RNA, 73 nt
Organism: Ornithorhynchus anatinus (platypus)
Lineage: Eukaryota; Metazoa; Chordata; Mammalia; Monotremata; Ornithorhynchidae
Source: the annotation of a RefSeq genome assembly